Molecule: long non-coding RNA, 1143 nt
Filed under: Cottoperca gobio
Lineage: Eukaryota; Metazoa; Chordata; Actinopteri; Perciformes; Bovichtidae
Description: lncRNA (ENSCGOG00000005183.1)
Source: RNAcentral
AAAGGGGGUGGGACCAUUCAUAAAUGAUGUUGCACUAUAUUGUUAAAUUGCAUGCUGGACACAUUUAAUUUUAAGAAACUUUGACUAGGGAGGGCCCUGCGCCGCUCCCCGGGCCUCCGCGCAAUAUUGGAAUGACACGUACUACUAUCCACAUGACGGCAUCCAUCUUCUCCAACUAGAGUGGAACCAUGUCCUCCCUGAUACACAACUCAAAGUCCAAAAACAGAUCCUGUGUGAUGACACCCUUCAUCUCAUUAGAAAAUGGCGGUUUGUGCCCCCUCAAAACACAUGCCAAGGAAGGUUUCUUUUCCACAGUAAAUAACGAGUUAAUACAAGCUGAUGGACUAUUACAAUUUAACAUAUAUGUAAGAUAAUAUCUUUGGUAUUUUUAAAAGAAUUAUAACAGGGGAGAAAAUGUCGUUUUUAUUCUCGUUUUCUCGUCACGUACACAGAUUGUUCAAGCAAAAGCCAAAAUCCUCGAAAUUAAUAUGAGCAAGUUUACUCAAAUCUAUAUCAAGAGUUACAGACAAUAUUAUUUAAAGAUGUGGAUAUUUUAAAGGAAAUUAUUGGAGUCUUUUUUUGAUUAAAACAACUCUAAACAGCUAUUAAUAGCAGCCAAACAUAUGCCGUCAUACUAGUGUUUUGUUUCACAAGUGGCCAGAACUAUCCUUAUAUCUUUAGUCAAAUGUUUGUUUAAUUGCAAGUCAUUUGAUUCAAUUAUGCACAAGCUGCACAGUGUGUAUAAGAAAUAGCUUGACAUUUGUUUUUAUCUAUCUGUAUUUCAACAAAAAAAUGUAGUUUUUUUUGUAAUAAACUUGUUGAUUUUUGUAUUUUUGUGAUCUUGAGAUGACUGUAGUUUUUAUUAUUUUUGCUCAGAUUAACACCACAUGUUCAGGCAAUACAAAAGAGCCUGAUGAGACAGUCACAUGAAUAUUUGCAGACUUGGUCACGCAUUACAUCUAUAGCCUACUGUAUGAAUGCAUGUAUCUUUGUCUGUUGUAUAUGAAUUAUUCCCUCCUGUCUGCCUUCAUCCAUUAGUUACACUGUGAUUUCUGUUGCUCUUGAAACACCUCAAAAGCAAAUCUUUUUUUUUUAAAGCAUGGAUACAAUCUUGUUUUCUAAAAGAAGAAAGAAACAUUAUUU